RNAcentral lists this ribosomal RNA (490 nucleotides) under uncultured bacterium. RNAcentral's name for it is "partial 16S ribosomal RNA". It matches the Rfam family "Bacterial small subunit ribosomal RNA", at positions 30 to 507 of the family's 1533-position model. The record is from RNAcentral.
AUUGAACGCUGGCGGCAGGCCUAACACAUGCAAGUCGAACGGUAACAGGAAGAAGCUUGCUUCUUUGCUGACGAGCGGCGGACGGGUGAGCAAUGUCUGGGAAACUGCCUGAUGGAGGGGGAUAACUACUGGAAACGGUAGCUAAUACCGCAUAACGUCGCAAGACCAAAGAGGGGGACCUUCGGGCCUCUUGCCAUCGGAUGUGCCCAGAUGGGAUUAGCUAGUAGGUGGGGUAACGGCUCACCUAGGCGACGACCCCUAGCUGGUCUGAGAGGAUGACCGGCCACACUGGAACUGAGACACGGUCCAGACUCCUACGGGAGGCAGCAGUGGGGAAUAUUGCACAAUGGGCGCAAGCCUGAUGCAGCCAUGCCGCGUGUAUGAAGAAGGCCUUCGGGUUGUAAAGUACUUUCAGCCGGGAGGAAGGGAGUAAAGUUAAUACCUUGGCUCAUUGACGUUACCCGCAGAAGAAGCCCCGGCUAACUCCGUG